UGGGGAAUAUUGGGCAAUGGGCGAAAGCCUGACCCAGCGACGCCGCGUGGGUGAUGAAGGCCUUCGGGUCGUAAAGCCCUGUCAGAAGGAAAGAACGAUCUUAUGGUGAAUACCCAUGAGAUGUGACGGUACCUUCGAAGGAAGCACCGGCCAAUUCCGUGCCAGCAGCCGCGGUAAGACGGAAGGUGCAAGCGUUGCUCGGAAUCACUGGGCGUAAAGGGUGCGUAGGCGGCUUCUUAAGUCUGGUGUGAAAGCCCAGGGCUCAGCUCUGGAAGUGCACUAGAUACUGGGAAGCUUGAGUAUCGGAGGGGAGAGUGGAAUUCCUGGUGUAGCGGUGAAAUGCGUAGAUAUCAGGAGGAAUACCGGUGGCGAAAGCGACUCUCCGGACGAUUACUGACGCUGAGGCACGAAAGCGUGGGGAGCAAACAGGAUUAGAUACCCCCGUAGUCCCUGAGCGGGCUGGCAAGGCGCAU
Molecule: ribosomal RNA, 473 nt
Filed under: uncultured bacterium
Lineage: Bacteria
Description: bacterial SSU rRNA
Rfam family: Bacterial small subunit ribosomal RNA
Source: RNAcentral